AUUGAACGCUGGCGGCAUGCCUUACACAUGCAAGUCGAACGGCAGCACGGGAGCUUGCUCCUGGUGGCGAGUGGCGAACGGGUGAGUAAUAUAUCGGAACGUGCCCAGUAGUGGGGGAUAGCCCGGCGAAAGCCGGAUUAAUACCGCAUACGAUCUACGGAUGAAAGCGGGGGAUCGCAAGACCUCGCGCUAUUGGAGCGGCCGAUAUCUGAUUAGCUAGUUGGUGAGGUAAAGGCUCACCAAGGCGACGAUCAGUAGCUGGUCUGAGAGGACGACCAGACACAAUGGAACUGAGACACGGUCCAGACUCCUACGGGAGGCAGCAGUGGGGAAUUUUGGACAAUGGGGGAAACCCUGAUCCAGCAAUGCCGCGUGAGUGAAGAAGGCCUUCGGGUUGUAAAGCUCUUUUGUCAGGGAAGAAACGGUUCUGGCUAAUAUCCAGAGCUAAUGACGGUACCUGAAGAAUAAGCACCGGCUAACUACGUGCCAGCCGCCGCAGUAA
This 502-nucleotide ribosomal RNA is filed under the name uncultured bacterium. Its description in RNAcentral is "partial 16S ribosomal RNA". It matches the Rfam family "Bacterial small subunit ribosomal RNA", at positions 30 to 523 of the family's 1533-position model. The record is from RNAcentral.